This 22-nucleotide microRNA is filed under the name Ascaris suum (pig roundworm). RNAcentral describes it as "asu-miR-279b-5p". Its record names the gene asu-miR-279b-5p. Lineage: Eukaryota; Metazoa; Nematoda; Chromadorea; Rhabditida; Ascarididae. The record is from miRBase by way of RNAcentral.
ACUGGUUUGCAGUCUAGUGCAU